Molecule: ribosomal RNA, 495 nt
Filed under: uncultured bacterium
Lineage: Bacteria
Description: partial 16S ribosomal RNA
Rfam family: Bacterial small subunit ribosomal RNA
Source: RNAcentral
GACGAACGCUGGCGGCGUGCCUAAUACAUGCAAGUAGAACGCUGAGGGAGGAGCUUUCUCUUCUGGAUGAGUUGCGAACGGGGGAGUAACGCGUAGGGAACAUGCCCGUUAACGGGGGAUAACUAUUGGAAACGAUAGCUAAUACCGCAUAACAGUAGAUGUUGCAUAAGAUUUGCUAAAAAGAUGCAAUUUUACCACUACCAGAUGGACCUGCGUUGUAUUAUCUAGUUGGUGGGGUAACGGCUCAACAAGGCGACGAUACAUAGCCGACCUGAGAGGGGGGUCGGCCCCCCUGGGACUUGGACACCGCCCCGGCUCCUACGGGAGGCAGCAGUAGGGAAUCUUCGGCAAUUGACGGAAGUCUGACCGGGCCACGCCGCCUGAGUGAAGAAGGUUUUCGGGUCGUUAAGCUCUGUUGUAAGGGAAGAAAGAGUGUGGGAGUGGACAGUUCACACUGUGACGGUAUCUUAUCAGAAAGGGACGGCUAACUACGUG